GAUUAAGAACGUAGUGAAAUGCGAUAAUUAAUGUGAAUUGCAGAAUUCAGUGAAUCAUCGAGUCUUUGAACGCACAUUGCGCCCCCUGGUAUUCCGGGGGGCAUGCCUGUCCGAGCGUCAUUGCUGCCCUCAAGCACGGCUUGUGUGUUGGGCUUCCGUCCCUGGCAACGGGGACGGGCCCAAAAGGCAGUGGCGGCACCAUGUCUGGUCCUCGAGCGUAUGGGGCUUUGUCACCCGCUCCCGUAGGUCCAGCUGGCAGCUAGCCUCGCAACCAAUCUUUUUAACCAGGUUGACCUCGGAUCAGGUAGGGAUACCCGCUGAACUUAAGCAUAUCAAUAAGCGGAGGA
Molecule: unclassified non-coding RNA, 347 nt
Filed under: soil metagenome
Description: partial contains 5.8S ribosomal RNA, internal transcribed spacer 2, and large subunit ribosomal RNA
Rfam family: 5.8S ribosomal RNA (bases 1-120)
Source: RNAcentral